UACAGAGACUGCAAGCGUUGUUCGGAAUUACUGGGCGUAAAGCGCACGUAGGCGGAUUGUUAAGUGAGGGGUGAAAUCCCAGGGCUCAACCCUGGAACUGCCUCUCAUACUGGCAAUCUCGAGUUCGAGAGAGGUGAGUGGAAUUCCGAGUUUAGAGGUGAAAUUCGUAGAUAUUCGGAGGAACACCAGUGGCGAAGGCGGCUCACUGGCUCGAUACUGACGCUGAGGUGCGAAAGUGUGGGGAGCAAACAGG
Molecule: unclassified non-coding RNA, 253 nt
Filed under: uncultured Alphaproteobacteria bacterium
Lineage: Bacteria; Pseudomonadati; Pseudomonadota; Alphaproteobacteria
Description: contains 16S-23S intergenic spacer region
Rfam family: Bacterial small subunit ribosomal RNA
Source: RNAcentral